GUGAUCCUGGAGACCCGGGAUCAAGUCCCAUGUCGGGCUCCCUGCAUGGAGUAUGCUUCUCCCUCUGCCUGUGUCUCUGCCUCUCCCUCUCUCUCUCUCUCUCUCUCUCUCUCUCUCUCUGUCUGUCAUGAAUAAAUAAACAAAAUCUUUAAAAAAAAAUAAAUUCCCCUUCCCAAAAGAUAAACUGUCAAGUUCAUUAGACUGGACAUUGCUAGGACUUCAUCAAUAGUAUCUUCACUGGCCUUCUCCAUUGCACAGGUGUGUCUAUCUCAUUGAUUGGUUGUCCAUCAAAUUUGAAUCUAAUCUGUCUCAUUGACAGGUUUUGUCUCUCACAAUAUGCGUUCAUCAGUUUGUUGAGAGGUGUUUGUCAUUUCUUUUGAGCUGAAUCACAGUUCUAUUAUAUUAUAGAAUUAUAACACAAAAAUGUUAAUUGGAAGUGACCUUUCAGUCAUUUUUUCUAACCUCCUACCUGGUAGAGAAUUCUCCUCUACAGUAUCCACAUCUAGAGGUCAUUCAGUAGUAGAUCCUUAGAUACUUCUGAUAACAGAGAGCUCACUAACUUGUGAAAUAGGCUAUUUCAAUUAUAUUCAGCUCUAUUUCUUAGUAAAUUCUUCUUUAUAUUGAACCAGGACUCCUUGAAAUUUUCAUUUCAGCCUAGGUGCCUAUUCUGAUGAUCCCAGAAUAAGAAUAGGCUUACUGUUUUUUCCAGAUGGCCUGCUGCUUUGGAAUUAAUAUAGCAGUUCUUUGUCUUCUGAUCCUAUAUCCAGAUUUCCCUUGGAAAAAAUUUCAUCAACACCUAAUUUCAGCACCACUUCCUCAACUCUGAACUUCGGCCGAAUUUGAAUUCUCCCUCUGGUUACUCCAUCAUUGCAUUUUGAUCAUAAGAGAAGAAGCUACUAAGGCCAUCUUAGAAAUGUGAAGGUGAGACCUCAUGGGAUCAUGAAAUGAAGAUUAUUUGAGGUCUCUGGAAACCUAGAGAUGUCUUGGGAUAUGUUUUCUAAAGUUUGAUUUAAAAAUCACAUAAAUAAGAUCAUAUGAUCUGCAAAAGAUAUGGUUUUACUUCUUCCUUUCCAAUCUGUAUGCCUUUUCUCCUAUUUUUCUUGCCUAGUUGAACUGGCUAGAAUCUCC
Molecule: long non-coding RNA, 1128 nt
Filed under: Vulpes vulpes (red fox)
Lineage: Eukaryota; Metazoa; Chordata; Mammalia; Carnivora; Canidae
Description: lncRNA (ENSVVUG00000013924.1)
Source: RNAcentral